GGGUGAGUAACCCGUGGGGAAUCUGCCUUUGAGCGGGGGACAACAUUUGGAAACGAAUGCUAAUACCGCAUAAAAACUUUAAACACAAGUUUUAAGUUUGAAAGAUGCAAUUGCAUCACUCAAAGAUGAUCCCGCGUUGUAUUAGCUAGUUGGUGAGGUAAAGGCUCACCAAGGCGAUGAUACAUAGCCGACCUGAGAGGGUGAUCGGCCACAUUGGGACUGAGACACGGCCCAAACUCCUACGGGAGGCAGCAGUAGGGAAUCUUCGGCAAUGGACGAAAGUCUGACCGAGCAACGCCGCGUGAGUGAAGAAGGUUUUCGGAUCGUAAAACUCUGUUGGUAGAGAAGAACGUUGGUGAGAGUGGAAAGCUCAUCAAGUGACGGUAACUACCCAGAAAGGGACGGCUAACUACGUGCCAGCAGCCGCGGUAAUACGUAGGUCCCGAGCGUUGUCCGGAUUUAUUGGGCGUAAAGCGAGCGCAGGUGGUUUAUUAAGUCUGGUGUAAAAGGCAGUGGCUCAACCAUUGUAUGCAUUGGAAACUGGUAGACUUGAGUGCGGGAGAGGAGAGUGGAAUUCCAUGUGUAGCGGUGAAAUGCGUAGAUAUAUGGAGGAACACCGGUGGCGAAAGCGGCUCUCUGGCCUGUAACUGACACUGAGGCUCGAAAGCGUGGGGAGCAAAC
This 681-nucleotide ribosomal RNA is filed under the name uncultured bacterium. RNAcentral's name for it is "bacterial SSU rRNA". It matches the Rfam family "Bacterial small subunit ribosomal RNA", at positions 104 to 773 of the family's 1533-position model. The record is from RNAcentral.